GACGAACGCUGGCGGCGUGCCUAAUACAUGCAAGUAGAACGCUGAAGGAGGAGCUUGCUCUUCUGGAUGAUUUGCGAACGGGUGAGUAACGCGUAGGUAACCUGCCUGGUAGCGGGGGAUAACUAUUGGAAACGAUAGCUAAUACCGCAUAACAGUAGAUGUUGCAUGACAUUUGCUUAAAAGGUGCAAUUGCACCACUACCAGAUGGACCUGCGUUGUAUUAGCUAGUUGGUGGGGUAACGGCUCACCAAGGCGACGAUACAUAGCCGACCUGAGAGGGUGAUCGGCCACACUGGGACUGAGACACGGCCCAGACUCCUACGGGAGGCAGCAGUAGGGAAUCUUCGGCAAUGGACGGAAGUCUGACCGAGCAACGCCGCGUGAGUGAAGAAGGUUUUCGGAUCGUAAAGCUCUGUUGUAAGAGAAGAACGAGUGUGAGAGUGGAAAGUUCACACUGUGACGGUAUCUUACCAGAAAGGGACGGCUAACUACGUG
This 495-nucleotide ribosomal RNA is filed under the name uncultured bacterium. RNAcentral's name for it is "partial 16S ribosomal RNA". It matches the Rfam family "Bacterial small subunit ribosomal RNA", at positions 28 to 507 of the family's 1533-position model. The record is from RNAcentral.